Molecule: ribosomal RNA, 406 nt
Filed under: uncultured eukaryote
Lineage: Eukaryota
Description: partial small subunit ribosomal RNA
Rfam family: Eukaryotic small subunit ribosomal RNA
Source: RNAcentral
AGCUCCAAUAGCGUAUAUUUAAGUUGCUGCAGUUAAAAAGCUCGUAGUCGAACUUCGGGGGGCCCGGGCCGGUCCUUUGGUGCGUGGGGUUCACCCCCCCGCCCUCUGCGCACUGGCAUUCCGGCGCCCCCCUGUUGCUGGGGACGGCGCUCCUGGGCUUUGCUGUCCGGGGCCCGGAGUCAGCGAGGUUACUUUGAGUAAAUUAGAGUGUUCAAAGCAGGCAUCCGCUCUGAAUACAUUAGCAUGGAAUAACAUGAUAGGACUCUGGCUUAUCACGUUGGUCUGUAAGACCGGAGUAAUGAUUGAGAGGGACAGUCGGGGGCAUUCGUAUUUCAUUGUCAGAGGUGAAAUUCUUGGAUUUAUGAAAGACGAACUACUGCGAAAGCAUUUGCCAAGGAUGUUUUCA